UGAAUGAACCUCGAAGUGAGCACCAACAGCAAACCACAAAAGAUAUAUUUGAGGAAGUUUUGCAGCUUCAUGACUUUUCUCUCAGCUGUCGAAACGAUACUGGUCCCGGUUAAACGAAACAUCCCUCUCGCGAGUGGUAAACUAUCCAGUUUAUGUAUCGUGUGACUCUUGUGUAAACGCCAGGGUAUCCUGGUCGAGCACAUCCGUUUCCCCAGGAUACUAUACCUAUGAGUUCGUAUUUCUUGUCUUCGCGUGCGGCUAUGAGUGGUCCUCCGCUAUCACCCUUGAAGAAAAGAAAAAUGAUAUCCAGCGCACAUCAUGUUAUCAGAGAUCAUACGUGGACUGUAGCUUGUGUUACGGCAAUCCUGAAGGCUCAUAACCGGUACCUCGACUUCCUGCAGCAGGCAAGAUGGCUUCCCAUCCUCG
Long non-coding RNA from Bombus pyrosoma, 426 nucleotides. RefSeq lists it as uncharacterized. Lineage: Eukaryota; Metazoa; Arthropoda; Insecta; Hymenoptera; Apidae. The record is from RefSeq and is a predicted model, not a curated record. The transcript has 3 exons.